This 185-nucleotide non-coding RNA is filed under the name Virgibacillus dokdonensis. RNAcentral's name for it is "6S RNA". It matches the Rfam family "6S / SsrS RNA". From Rfam's summary of the family: E. coli 6S RNA was the first non coding RNA to be sequenced, but its function was unknown until recently. Lineage: Bacteria; Bacillati; Bacillota; Bacilli; Caryophanales; Bacillaceae. RNAcentral also lists the same sequence under 2 other names. The record is from RNAcentral.
UACAAGCUGCAAUGUACGUAUUUUAUUUAGUUUUAACCUCUAAUGAAUGAAUAGGGAGUUUUAUAUCGAAGCUUUAAUGUCGUGCCGUCUUCGAGCGGAAGACAGGACAGUUUCUGCAAACACCCACUUAGCGAAGUGGUGGUUUAAAACUUUUUAUUACAAAAUACGGCAAUUGUGGCCUGUAA